RNAcentral lists this ribosomal RNA (396 nucleotides) under Paracoccus sp. UMANJYKR. RNAcentral describes it as "bacterial SSU rRNA". It matches the Rfam family "Bacterial small subunit ribosomal RNA", at positions 40 to 464 of the family's 1533-position model. Lineage: Bacteria; Pseudomonadati; Pseudomonadota; Alphaproteobacteria; Rhodobacterales; Paracoccaceae. The record is from RNAcentral.
UGGCGUGCUUAACACAUGCAAGUCGAGCGAGACCUUCGGGUCUAGCGGCGGACGGGUGAGUAACGCGUGGGAACGUGCCCUUUUCUGCGGAAUAGCCUCGGGAAACUGAGCGUAAUACCGCAUACGCCCUUUGGGGGAAAGAUUUAUCGGAAAAGGAUCGGCCCGCGUUGGAUUAGGUAGUUGGUGGGGUAACGGCCUACCAAGCCGACGAUCCAUAGCUGGUUUGAGAGGAUGAUCAGCCACACUGGGACUGAGACACGGCCCAGACUCCUACGGGAGGCAGCAGUGGGGAAUCUUAGACAAUGGGGGCAACCCUGAUCUAGCCAUGCCGCGUGAGUGAUGAAGGCCUUAGGGUUGUAAAGCUCUUCAGCUGGAAGAUAAUGACGACCCGCGGCC